Molecule: transfer RNA, 71 nt
Filed under: Aspergillus udagawae
Lineage: Eukaryota; Fungi; Ascomycota; Eurotiomycetes; Eurotiales; Aspergillaceae
Description: tRNA-Ser
Rfam family: tRNA
About the family: Transfer RNA (tRNA) molecules are approximately 80 nucleotides in length.
Source: RNAcentral
GACACUUUGGCCGAGUGGUUAAGGCGCAGGCCUGCUAAAUCUAUAACAGGGUUCGAAUCCCAGAGGUGUCG